Long non-coding RNA from Equus caballus (horse), 1730 nucleotides. NCBI's taxonomy places the organism in Eukaryota, Metazoa, Chordata, Mammalia, Perissodactyla, Equidae. The record is from Ensembl.
AGGAGUGAAUCAAUCCCUAUGCCUUUAAAGGGUGGGAUGCAGGUGUGCAUGGAGUUAGGAGGCUGAUCAAUGGCUUCCGUCUUUGCCCUCUCCCAUCUGUGAUCUAUUCUAAGGGCCUUCUGGAGGGAGUGCUCAGGCACAGUCACACUGGGUGUUUCUUACCCCAGCCAUCUUGAGCUUGUAGACUGUGGAGGAUUGUAGAGCUUGUAGACUGUAGAUUGGUGCUCCCCUGCUACUGCGACCCCCCCACCCUUGAGGGUGAGGCAGAGUUGAAGGUGAAAAGUCAAUAUGUGGGGCAUGGAACCUUCUAGAAGAGCAGCUGAUGUUGUCUCUCCACUUCUCCAAGAUGAAAUUAUCACUGAAGUGAGUGAAGAAUGUAAUAGAUACGGUGCUCUCUAGAAGUGUCUACAGCUAUGGCUAAGGCACAGAAGACAGCUGGAACAUGCUUGUAGUGAGCUGAUGAAUACUGAAUGUCUACUUUGGGGAUUGGUCAAGUCUUGGAGUGAAUACCACCUGGGAUGGAGGCAGAAGGUUGAAACAGGAUGUCCAAACACAGUUAUGGUCUCUCUUCCCUGCUGACAUUGAAGGCAGCUCUUCUGCAUUUUGGGUUCUUUCUGCCCAGCAUGGUAGUCAGCCAACAGAGAGUGCUCCCACUUAACUGGAGAGGUAAAGGAGACUCAGCUCACGGCUCAGCCUUACCCUUGUUUAAUCCAACCUCAAAUAGUCAAGAUUUGACCCUUUUUAGGCCAUAGAAUUGACAGGAGCUGAUGACUGGUUAGAUAUAGGAAUAAAGGAGAGUCAACGAUGGUUAUGGCCAGCCCUGGUGAUCUAGCGGUUAAGAUUCCGUACUCUCACCACCGUGGCCUGGUUUUGUUUCCUGGCCAAGGAACUACACCAUGCAUCUGUUGGUUGUCAUACUACGGUGGCUACAUGCUGCUAUGAUGCUGAAAACUAUGUCACUGGCAUUUCAAACACCAGCAGUGUCACCAUGGUGGACAGGUUUCGGUGGAGUUUCCAGAUGAAGACAGACUAGGAAGAAGGAUCUGGCCACCCACUUCUGAAAAAAUUGGCCAUGAAAACUCUAUGAUUAGCAGUGGAACAUUGUCUGAUGUAGCACCAAAAGAAAGAAGGUGUAUGCCCUGGGGAAAUGAAAGAGACUCACAGCCCCUCUGCAAACCUGCAUCUCGGUAGCCUCUGUGGCUUCCCCACCUCACAGCGAGUUCGUUUCUUCUCCUCCACACCAGGGACAAUCAGUCCACUCUCCCUGUGGGCAGAUAUCUCAUCCCCGUGGGCAGUGUCGUGAAGAGCCUCUAGGCUGACGGAUGCAUUUGGGAACUCAUUCUAAAAUGAAGACGUGAUGGAGUUGAUGGGGAACACAUAGAACCGGGACAAGUCUCUGACUCAAGAAAUCAGUCUGCUGGGAAGGAUUCAUAGCAAUUGUGACUUUUUAAAAGCUGAGCUUGAAUAAUAAUUAUAAAAAGUUAUUGACAUAAUAAAAGAACAAAAGGACUUAUGUGAUGAGCAAUAGUUCCUGGCCUGCCCCUGCCCCUCACCCCCAGUUCUGCCCCUCCUCAUUCCCAAGGGCUUUACCUUUAACUGUUUCUGUUUUUGGUUACCUCUGGUGGUCAAGCCCAUGUUUCUAAAUAAAUACAGCACGCCGCCGUCAGUUCCUAUCGCCCCUUGCCCACCCCUCUUGCCCCUCCCAGUACAGCUGUAUCACUGCUUUUCCC